GUUUACAAUCAGACUGCAUCUCAGCCCUGUCAAGAUGGAUCUCUAUAACAGGUGAUGAAUAGUUUUAUUUGGGGGAUAUAUUAACUUUUGCUAUUCGAGAAAGCUUUUAGAUUGGUUUGCCAGUUUGUACCCCAUCAAGUUGAGGCUAAUAGAUAUACAUUCACAACUCUGUACCUAUCAAAUAAUCAACUUUAUGUGUGACUUUGGGACUGAUUCAUACAACUACAUUUCCUUUCUCCACUCUAUAGCAGCCUUUUCUCUGUAUUUGAAAAAAAUAACCAAGAAGGAGAAGAUAAGGAACCAGGAAUAAGAUCUGGAUGAGUAUGGUGAGGAUCUAAGCUUUACAAGUGAGGGGCCGAGGAAGAUGGCUUUGUGGUUCAGCAUAGGAAUGAUAGGUGCUUCAUAUUAUUAUAUUCCUGUUCCAAAACGAAGAAGUCUUUGAGUUCUUUGCUCUCCUACUUUUAAGGCUUGCUGGGUUCUGGGUGAUGGUGGGUCUGGAAUGCUCUCUAGUGACAACAUAUCAGCCAGCUGCUCUGGCUCUCCCAUGAUUUCCAAACUUUUCCCCUCAUCUGCCUCUGAGCUGCUACCUCCCUCAACCCCGUGUUGUAUAUCUAUACUGUCUUCCUCUUCCUCCUCCCUGGAAGGGUCAGGUUGGAGAAGUGGUCUCCACCAUACUUGCUCUGCCCACUCCCUGACACUAUCACACUCAUUUAGCCCAUAUGAACUUGUUAUAAUUAUGACCAUCAAUGUAACAAGGGAAAACCACUCAGAGAAUUGUUCUUCAGCUUAUUUUGGAUAAGUAAUUUCCGAUCUCCCAAAAUUCUUUGGCAGAUUCAGAUACAUUUUUUGGGGGGGGGGGAUUAGAAUGCCUAGUUCCUGAAGUAAUGCACAAAUUGAAAUGUGGUUGUUCUAUGAAAUUCACAGUUCUUGUGAACUGUGGCUAUCCAGCAACAGAAAGAAACACGGAGAUGCAUAUAUCAGGAGAAAGCGAGUAUAUCACUGAAGGAACAAUAUAAAAAUGCAUUAGGGACAACUGAUGAUGAAAUUUACAUUAGGAGAAUUACACACUAAAAUACUGGCAAAUCACAAAAAAAUAAAAUAAAUGCAAACUAAUGUGGAACUGUGGCAAACAGAACCUAUGGGUGAUUAUUAAAAAUGUGAGAAACCAAAACGGUUUCAUCUCUCCGUAGCAUCAAGUAGAAUCUCCACAUUUGCUUCCAAAGACCAAACCAGUCUCCCAAAAAUUGUCACCCUGUUUACAGGCAGUGAAAUUGAUAAUACCACUUUGUUCAAUAUUCUUUGGGAGGAGGAGAAAUUCUCUGGCAGUUUCUUAGGAGCCAGGAUGCUCAUCUGGCAUUCAAAAGCUUUCUCUCCCCCCCCCUUUGGUGUUGUGAUGGCAAUGAUAUUGGCAGCAUAGCCAUCAUUUUCUCUCUACCCAUGCUCCAAUCCAAGCAUUGUUUGGAGGUAUUUCAGGUGGGGUAGGGUGGUGCAUGCCCCACAAAAAUGGUGGAAAAUAUGCAUUCAGCAAAAUUCCUCCCUUUUGGGGGAAAUGUUGGCUUAGUUCUAAUGGACUACAUAGCUGGGUUUGUCUGGUUUCUGAACUGCUGUGGCUCUCCCUGGUAUAUGUUCGGAGAGUUUACAGAUUCUGAUUUAUGGUAUGAAAUGUUUUUAUGAUACAAUAAUCUUUAUUGUCAUUGUCCCAUACAGAACAAUGAAAUUGAAAAAUCUACAUAAGACAUUAAAAACCCAACAAGCCUGCUAUCCCAGCUAUCCCAACCUGGUUAGCCCCUAAAAACUCUGAUGCCCCAUUUUUAAAUACAAUAUACUCCCAUACAGACUCCUUACAAUACGUUUAAAACCAAAAUCGCAUUUGGGUAGAAACUGUUUCUCAGGCGGCUAGUCCUAGUCUUUAUAACUCUGUACCUUCUUCCAUAAGGCAGAAGCUGAAAGAGAUCAUUUCUGGGGUGCGCACUAUCCUGUGCUAUCUCUGCAGCUUUCUUAUGGCACCUGGAAGCGUAGAUUUGAUCCAAGGUGGGAAGAGUGCACCCAAGUAUUCUCUCUGCAGUCUUUACAACCUUGGACAGCAUUGUUUUUUCCCUGACCGUGCAGCUCCCAAACCACACACACGGACCAUAAGUUAAUACACUCUCCAUAGUACAAUGGGAAAAUGCCAUCAACAGGUCCUUUGAGAGAUUGUUUUUCCAGGGGAUUAUCAGAAAAUAUAACCUCUGCUGUGCUCUCUUCAUCAGGUCUUAAUGAAAUGAAAUGAAAGCAGAGCUUUCCAAACUUUUCAUGCUAGCCACACACAUUUUAGACAUGCUUCAUUUUGUCACACAAUAAUUCAGUUUUACUAGUAAACCAGAGGUUCAACUAACUGCAUUCAAGCUCCAGGAGGAGAACGGGGAGCGUUCAUGCAACAUGCCUGUGCACUGCAGCCAAGACACUAACGUGUCAUGACACACAGUUGGGAAAGCUCUGCUGUCCAUUCUGAAAGUGGAGGUUGUGCAUUCUGCAAAGUGUUCUCCUGUGCACUUAUCUUUAAUUUAGCACUAGCACAACUCAGAGGUGAGGAUGGCCAAAUGCAAAGAGGGCAGGGAAGGUGUCACAUGCAAAAUUCCCCUCUUCUACACAGCCAUUAAAGAUCCAAGAGCCUUGCCCUCUUUGGCAUGUGCCCACCCUACCUGUGAUGUAAAAUAAGUGUUAUUCCCAUUUCACAGGUGUGGUGCUGAGUCCAAGGUGGCGACUUGCUCAAACCUGCUGGGGGAUGAGUGUUGCAUUUGAAUUCUGAUCGAGGCUUAGAAAUGCCAAUGUACGAUUCAUUUGAUUAUCUUAUCUUUGCUGAUUUUCAGCCUGCAGUUUUGAGUGGGUAUCAUCACAAAUAAAUGAUGUAUUCAGUUACUGAAAACCAGGAUAGGAGGGAUGCGGGAAAUGACAAAAGAUGAGCAGCUGUGAUAUAGCAUUGUUUGCUUUGCAGCUGACCAGCUGAGAUUUUGGACUGACAUGCUAAAAAUUUGGAUACUAUCAGCAUUGCUGUUCAGUUUCUAACUGUUGGCAAAGAUAAUGAUAUUCUAUGAUGCUGAGAGCUAGAUUCAAGGCUCCGAUACCUACAGUGUAAUCUAAACAUAUCAUACCCUCCAAGUGUCCCUAUUUUCCAGGGGCAGUCCUAGAAUUACAAAAGCUACCCCAGCUUCUGAUUUGAUCCCGAAGUGUCCCUGUUUCUCCCACCAGUGCCUCUGCCAAGCCCAGAGAGGAGGAUGAACUGGUGUUUGUCUCGUGUGGCAGCAGCAGUGAGGGAGCAUUCCAUUGCCUCUCCAUGACUGCUGCUGCCAAUCUCCUCCCUUGGGCAUUUCAAGGUGGCUGCUGAAGAGCAGACAAGGAAGAGGAGAGGCUGCCACCACAGAGGUCCAGCCCCACAUGACACACCUGCUCUGAGCCAGGAAGAAAGGGGGAGCAGAGUGGAGCGCAAUGAGCCU
Non-coding RNA from Podarcis lilfordi (Lilford's wall lizard), 3473 nucleotides. NCBI's taxonomy places the organism in Eukaryota, Metazoa, Chordata, Lepidosauria, Squamata, Lacertidae. The record is from the annotation of a GenBank genome assembly.